Molecule: long non-coding RNA, 305 nt
Filed under: Heterocephalus glaber (naked mole-rat)
Lineage: Eukaryota; Metazoa; Chordata; Mammalia; Rodentia; Bathyergidae
Description: lncRNA (ENSHGLG00100050128.1)
Source: RNAcentral
CAUCUCUGGUUCUGAGAUGGCGCUGUCUUCCCUCUGUGUCUCUGCCUCCGUUUGCCGGUCUGAGAGACGAGGGUUUUCUGGAACCUGUUCCCCAUCGGCAGCCUUGACUACUGGUGACGCAGCUCCACUCUUCCACCCGUCAGCGCCUGUCACUAGGAAGUUCUUGGGCACACUUCCAACAGCAUUCACUUCUGUGCUCCAGGAAAAGGAUCAAACUCGGGACCUUGUGCUUGUGAGGCAGGCGCCAGAACCACUGAGCUAAAUCCCCGGCCCGGUCCAGCCCUAUUUCUGGGAAAAGAAAAGAG